RNAcentral lists this ribosomal RNA (253 nucleotides) under uncultured bacterium. RNAcentral's name for it is "partial 16S ribosomal RNA". It matches the Rfam family "Bacterial small subunit ribosomal RNA", at positions 524 to 776 of the family's 1533-position model. The record is from RNAcentral.
UACGAAGGGGGCUAGCGUUGCUCGGAAUCACUGGGCGUAAAGCGCACGUAGGCGGACUCUUAAGUCAGGGGUGAAAUCCUGGAGCUCAACUCCAGAACUGCCUUUGAUACUGGGAGCCUUGAGUUCGAGAGAGGUGAGUGGAACUGCGAGUGUAGAGGUGAAAUUCGUAGAUAUUCGCAAGAACACCAGUGGCGAAGGCGGCUCACUGGCCCGGUACUGACGCUGAGGUGCGAAAGCGUGGGGAGCAAACAGG